AUUUUGUAUACUUUUGAAUUACCUUAUUUCAAUUAUAAUAAAAAAUUUGUAAUUAUUGUUAUAUGUAUAUUACUAUUACCUUUAACAUUUCAAGAGAAUGCUGGGUCACUUAGUAGGAUUCUUGUUUUUUCUUUAUUUUCAUUAUCAAUAACAUUAAUAACAAUAAUACUACAAGUUAAAUAUUAUUUUAAUACAAUACCUAAUAAACAAAUAAAAUUAUUUAAUAUUGAUCGUAAUUUUUUUCAGUGUUUUAACAUUUUGUUAUUUUCUUUUUCACAACAACCAAAUGCUUGUUUUAUAACAGGUCAGUUUAAUCAACCAACACAUAGAAGGUUAACAAAAUCAGCCUAUCGAAGUGUAUUUUUACAAAUUAUAUUUUACACUUUAUUUGGAAUAUCAGGUUAUUUAUCUUUUUUACAUACAUCUAAAGACAACAUUAUUUUAAAUUAUGAAGACCAAAAUGUAUCAAUACUAUUUUGUAAGUUUUUAUUAUGCAUAACCUAUUUUUUUUCUGUUCCUUUAAAUUUCAUGGGUGCAUAUUCAAGUUUGUUAUCUUUAUAUAAUUUUAUUUCCUCUUGGCUAUACAAAUCUUAUACAUAUAUGGUAAGAAGGAAUACUUAUGUAAUAGAUACCUUAUCAACAGUUUUACGAGAUAAUAGUACAGAUCCAUUUGAAGAAGAAACAGGAGAAGAAGUAGGAGAAGAAGUAGGAGAAGGAAUAGGAGAAGGAGAAGGAGAAGGAGUAGGAGAAGGAGAAGGAGAAAAAUAUAUACAAUAUGAUGACGGAACAGAAGAUGAUACUAAUUUAUCUACAUCUGCAUCUGUAUCCGGGUCACAAACUGAACGUAAAAAGCAAAGAAAACUAAUUUCAAUCCUUGUUACUAUAUUAUGUGCCACCAUAGCACUAAAUGUAAAUAAAUUAUCAAAUGUUAUAGGUGUUGCUGGUGGAAUCACAUCGUCCUUAUUAUCUUGUCUUUUACCCAAUUUGAUAUACUAUAAAAAUAGACAUAAUGUUAAGAACAAGUAUCGAAGAUAUUUGACUUUAACCAUGCUAUGUUUUUUCUCAUUUAUGGGUUUUUUUUCUGUCAUAGUUACUGCAUUAAUAGUAAUUUUUUAAAAGACAUAUAAAGUUUUGUUUUUUUUUUUUUUUUUUUUUUUUUUUUUAUGUAUCUAUUUUUAUGCAUUUAUUUUUGCACGCUGCAUUAGGUACAUGUAUUUACAUACGUACGUAUGUUUUGUGCAGUCAUAAAAACAUGGUUGUUAUUUAUCAACAAUUACAUGUUUGUUUACAUUAAAGCAAAUUACAACAUAUUUUGUUAAAAAUUAUAAUGGAAAUUCAUUACAAAUCCUUAACAAGUGGUAUAUGUGUUUAUGCAUAAAAAACAUAGUUAUUUACUUGUAUAUGCAUAUGUAACCAUGUGUAUGCAUAAAAUAAUUGAUAAAGAUCAGCUUAACAAUUUUAUGUAUAUAUGAUGAGUAAGUGUGUAAAUGCAGAAAUAAUCAUAAGUAUACAAUACAAAUUAACCAAAUAGUAAAAUAUAGUAUUAUAUAUAUACAUGUGUGUAAAUAUACAAUAGUGGUGUUGUAAUUAAGUGAAAAAUUGAUAUAGUGUUCUUUAAUACACCUAUAAUUAUAGCAUACUGAAUUUCGAAUUUUUUUUGAUUGUUUGACCUACAUAUAUAUAUUAAAAUAAUAAUACAAAUUGCUUUGUCUUACUUUACUAUGCUUUUCUUU
Molecule: long non-coding RNA, 1733 nt
Organism: Piliocolobus tephrosceles (Ugandan red Colobus)
Lineage: Eukaryota; Metazoa; Chordata; Mammalia; Primates; Cercopithecidae
Source: Ensembl